RNAcentral lists this non-coding RNA (29 nucleotides) under Cricetulus griseus (Chinese hamster). Lineage: Eukaryota; Metazoa; Chordata; Mammalia; Rodentia; Cricetidae. The record is from RNAcentral.
GGAAUUGAAACUGGUCCUCUGUAAGAGCA